AUUGAACGCUGGCGGCAGGCUUAACACAUGCAAGUCGAGCGGGGGAAGGUAGCUUGCUACCGGACCUAGCGGCGGACGGGUGAGUAAUGCUUAGGAAUCUGCCUAUUAGUGGGGGACAACAUCUCGAAAGGGAUGCUAAUACCGCAUACGUCCUACGGGAGAAAGCAGGGGAUCUUCGGACCUUGCGCUAAUGGAUGAGCCUAAGUCGGAUUAGCUAGUUGGUGGGGUAAAGGCCUACCAAGGCGACGAUCUGGAGCGGGUCUGAGAGGAUGAUCCGCCACACUGGGACUGGGACACGGCCCAGACUCCUACGGGAGGAAGCAGUGGGGAAUAUUGGACAAUGGGGGGAACCCUGAUCCAGCCAUGCCGCGUGUGUGAAGAAGGCCUUAUGGUUGUAAAGCACUUUAAGCGAGGAGGAGGCUACUUUAGUUAAUACCUAGAGAUAGUGGACGUUACUCGCAGAAUAAGCACCGGCUAACUCUGUGCCAGCCGCCGCGGUAA
Molecule: ribosomal RNA, 501 nt
Filed under: uncultured bacterium
Lineage: Bacteria
Description: partial 16S ribosomal RNA
Rfam family: Bacterial small subunit ribosomal RNA
Source: RNAcentral